AGCAAUAUAGAUGUGCCGUGCAAUAGCAGAAAUGGCAAUCUGUAUCAAAAGCCGAAAGCAAAAAAGAAAUAAGGGAGCUUUAGAGGGUGUAUUCAAUUAGGAUUGUAUACGAUUUUGAAAGAUUUUUUUUAAGUGACAGAUUUCCUGGAAUUGUAUAACUCCUAUAGGUUUUACUCAGAUUUUUAAUAAACUUGUAUAAACUUUUAUUAUAGACUUCCAUACUUUUGUAUGAACUUUUGUUAUAGAUUCAGAUCUAUUUGCAUAGACUUUAUCACUCUUUCUUCCCAACACUAUUUUCUUUAGCCACAAGUCGACCAUCCCUUUUUUUUUCUUUUCCCAAAUUCUUCCUCUACUUGCAUGCACAACAAUGAAUUUCCCUUUGAAAUUUCCACGGACUGAAAACUUUCACACCUAAACAGUAAGAACAUCGAACUCUAUGUCCAAUAUUCAAUACCAAAAAAAAAUAAAAACAAAAACAAAACAACCCUUUGUCCAAAAAGCAAGGGCCCUAUCAUUUGGUAGUGUUAUGGGUGAUGGAAAUAUAUCUCUACCCAAGCUUUCCAC
This 564-nucleotide long non-coding RNA is filed under the name Prunus persica (peach). RNAcentral describes it as "long non-coding RNA (PPER_LNC006882)". The record is from RNAcentral. Lineage: Eukaryota; Viridiplantae; Streptophyta; Magnoliopsida; Rosales; Rosaceae.